Molecule: ribosomal RNA, 301 nt
Filed under: uncultured bacterium
Lineage: Bacteria
Description: partial 16S ribosomal RNA
Rfam family: Bacterial small subunit ribosomal RNA
Source: RNAcentral
CAGUAGCCGCGGUAAUACAGAGGAUGCAAGCGUUAUCCGGAAUGAUUGGGCGUAAAGCGUCUGUAGGUGGCUUUUCAAGUCCGCUGUCAAAUCCCAGGGCUCAACCCUGGACAGGCGGUGGAAACUACCAAGCUGGAGUACGUUAGGGGCAGAGGGAAUUUCCGGUGGAGCGGUGAAGUGCGUUGAGAUCGGAAAGAACACCAACGGCGAAAGCACUCUGCUGGGCCGACACUGACACUGAGAGACGAAAGCUAGGGGAGCAAAUGGGAUUAGAUACCCCCGUAGUCCCUGUCUCUUAUAC